CUUUUCCAACUUGUAGCUGCUACGAUUAAGACGUGUUGAACAUUCCGAAUCUGCAGGCAAUCUCUAAGGCGUAUCCUUGUCGACACCAACAACGGUCUCACUUGUAGGUAUACUGUAGGUAAAACUGGACAGUACGGUAGGUCCCUAAUUUUCGUUUUUAGUUCGAUGAUGCUGCAUUGAAUUCCUGAUGUUUGCUUAAGCCUGCGUCUGAGUUUCGGUCAUGCCUCAUGCCGUCGCCAUUUUGAAAAAACGUGCAAAUUCAAUUUCAUUUACAAUUGAGCUAUUAAUUAUCAAUUAAUAAGUAUUAAUUACAAUUUCCUUUAUAUUGACUGAGGUUAGAUAUAAUUAUAGAUAUAAACAGAUACAUGUAUAUAUAAUUUAUAAAAGUUUACUGUAGUUCAUCAUGCUCCGAGUUAAACGGAGGGCCAGGAACGCUCUAUAUAUUGGCACAGCGGCUGGGACAAGAGGAGCCGCAUCCAGGACGACGACGGCUCACGCCUCUGCCAUACCUACAACGGUGACAACUCACAUGGCCACUGACCUCCCUACUCAGCCUAGCCUGCCAGUCAUCCCUCUAAGCACUCCGCCAGUUGUGGACCCUCAUCAACAGGUUAUGACUAACUUCCCAAUUAACAAAAACAGGGGAGAACAAAUUUCAGAAAGGUACGAGCCACACGAGGCGUAUAUCCAACAAUGUGCAUUUUCAGCUGCAAGAGCCUUAGAAUGAGCUGUGUACUUUGUGAUGCUUUCUUAAUUCAGUGACAUUACACUUUCAAUAUUUGACAAGAAAGACGACGCGAAGAUGACACCAACUAUUUUAUGACUUUUUAAGUCAAAAAUAAAAUUACAAUGUUUUUUAAACCAGCUGUUGAUGCUUGGCCUAAUCAUGAAUAUUGUGCCAGUCAUUUUUAUAUCCAUUGGUCCGAUGGGACAGUAACCGUUAUCAUUUGACCAGUAAAAAUUUUAAUUGAUAGCCCAAGUGACCAGUGAAUAAACAUAAUUAUUUCUAUCCCUAAGGUGGUGGGGUGCAUUAAGGGUUGGAAGCCACCAUCCAAGGUAAAAUGCUUUGAGUUAGUCCCUUGUGAACAUUGAUAAUAAUUGCAUGAAGUGGCACACACUUCCGUGGGGGAAAAUUCUGGAUUUGCUCAUAUGUAUGUACUUAAGCUACUAUGUAGUUGCACUUGCGAGAAGUCAUAAUAUGAGUACCAAAGGAAAUGUGGUUAUUAAGGGCGAGUUGUCCUGAUUUACCAUGUUCUAAUUUAGGAUCUGAACUACUGUAAUAUUUCACCAAGUUCAUAAAACAAAUGAGUACAUAAACGUAUGAUAAGAUGCUUCCAUUGGUCAUGAAAUUCAAGCUAGAUAUGGAAAGAAAUAAGGUCAUUUUCAUUACAGGAUUUUUUGUAUGUAUGUUGAAAAUUUUCUUUAGAAACAUAUCUUUAACUAGAACUGUCCUAAUGGACUAAUACCCCCGCGGGACAUAUAAGAUGGUGGGAAUUAUCUAAUGCAAGCACAUUGGAUAUUUUCACAUUAUCUACAGGGCAGUCAAUGUGAAUGCAGAAGUGUAUAUUCUACAGUACAGCAGUACAUGAAAUAUUAAAAACAUGCUUAAUAUAAACAAUGAAUACUCUUUGGCAUAUUUUAGGCUGUAUGAUUGCAAAUCCCUGGUCAACUCUUCUAGUCUUUAGUUUAUAUUCACUUUGUUAAAGAUCAUUAUGUUAUGCCAACUUUAUUUUGUCAUUGAUUUUGUCAGUAAAUAAAUGACAUUAGCUCAAGUA
RNA transcript from Ostrea edulis (European flat oyster), 1775 nucleotides. RefSeq lists it as uncharacterized. The record is from RefSeq and is a predicted model, not a curated record. The transcript has 2 exons. Lineage: Eukaryota; Metazoa; Mollusca; Bivalvia; Ostreida; Ostreidae.